Molecule: RNA transcript, 1513 nt
Organism: Loxodonta africana (African savanna elephant)
Lineage: Eukaryota; Metazoa; Chordata; Mammalia; Proboscidea; Elephantidae
Gene: RSU1
Gene name: Ras suppressor protein 1
Exons: 10
Source: RefSeq, a predicted model, not a curated record
UGCGCCAAGCGCUAGGGACAGGGCGUGUUCCUGGUUCGGGUUUCAAGUUUUGCCCUGAGCGAGCGCAUCUUUUGCCACCCGAGUGUGUAUCGCGGAAGCCUGUGGUCCCAACCUUCCCAUCCUGUUUGGUGCUACCCUUCGCGACCAUGUCUAAGUCUUUGAAAAAGUUGGUGGAGGAGAGCCGGGAGAAGAACCAGCCGGAAGUGGACAUGAGUGACCGAGGGAUCUCCAACAUGCUGGAUGUCAACGGCUUGUUCUCUUUAGCCCAUAUCACUCAACUGGUGCUCAGUCACAACAAACUAACAACUGUGCCACCCAACAUAGCAGAACUGAAGAACUUGGAAGUGCUCAACUUUUUUAAUAACCAGAUUGAGGAGCUGCCCACACAGAUCAGCAGCCUUCAAAAACUCAAACACCUGAACCUUGGCAUGAAUAGGCUGAACACUUUGCCUCGAGGAUUUGGCUCUCUACCAGCUCUUGAGGUCCUUGACUUGACUUACAACAACUUGAAUGAAAAUUCUCUUCCGGGAAAUUUCUUCUACCUUACCACCCUGCGCGCACUCUAUCUAAGUGACAACGAUUUUGAAAUCCUGCCGCCAGAUAUUGGGAAGCUCACAAAGUUGCAGAUACUCAGCCUUAGGGAUAACGACCUCAUCUCACUGCCUAAGGAAAUUGGGGAGCUUACUCAGCUUAAGGAGCUCCACAUUCAGGGGAACCGCCUGACCGUUCUGCCCCCAGAACUAGGAAACUUGGACUUAACUGGUCAGAAGCAGGUAUUCAAAGCGGAGAACAAUCCCUGGGUUACCCCGAUUGCUGACCAGUUCCAGCUUGGCGUGUCCCACGUCUUUGAAUACAUCCGUUCUGAGACAUACAAGUAACUCAGCAGUUUAUGUGCUAAGGUUCUGUCAGCAGCACCUCAGAGCUGCCGGAUAGGCCUCUACGGCAGACACAUGCAAGCAAACCCAGAACCACCAAAGAAGAAUAAUGACAAAUCGAAAAAGAUCAGCCGGAAACCCCUGACAGCCAAGAACAGAUAAGGGCUUGGCACGGACUGGGCUUUUGGCCUUUUCUCUCACAUCCCUCCUGGCUUCUCUUGCUCUGUCUUACAAAUAAAUACAAUGUGUAUAUGUCUUUUUUUUUUUCCACUUUCUUCUUUCUAGUGCUUACCACUUACCUUUUUAUUUCUUUUGGUAGGUGGUAGAUUUUUAUAAGUUUUUAAAACCAUUUCCAUUUGUUUCCUUAGAAUUGCCAAAGGCAGGAAACAAAGCAUUAAUUCAGCUGCAAAUUCCAUAGUAGGCACAGGUUUCAGUUCCUUGAAUAGACAUCACAGAGUUGCUUAUUAUCACAAGAAUAAUUAAAGUCAUGCAACCAUUUAAAUGUCACAGUUAACACUUUUCAGUCUUCUGUUUAUUCACGUAAGUCAUGAUUUUGCUUUAUUGAAAGUUUUCCUUCACUACUGAGAUAUUCUGUUAAUUUAACUUCUAAAUGAUUUUAAUAAAAUCUGAAAUUUGUA